RNAcentral lists this small nucleolar RNA (86 nucleotides) under Lottia gigantea (owl limpet). Its description in RNAcentral is "Small nucleolar RNA snR60/Z15/Z230/Z193/J17". It matches the Rfam family "Small nucleolar RNA snR60/Z15/Z230/Z193/J17". Rfam says of the family: The members of this family belong to the C/D class of snoRNAs which contain the C (UGAUGA) and D (CUGA) box motifs. Most of the members of the box C/D family function in directing site-specific 2'-O-methylation of substrate RNAs. The record is from Rfam by way of RNAcentral. Lineage: Eukaryota; Metazoa; Mollusca; Gastropoda; Lottiidae.
AAGUCAUGAAUGAUGAUAAUUACCUGUCAGAUUAUAAUAAUGUUGAUAUCUGCGUUUUAGUCUUUCGCUCCUAUCUGACAUGACUU